Molecule: ribosomal RNA, 441 nt
Filed under: uncultured bacterium
Lineage: Bacteria
Description: partial 16S ribosomal RNA
Rfam family: Bacterial small subunit ribosomal RNA
Source: RNAcentral
CCUACGGGAGGCAGCAGUGGGGAAUAUUGGGCAAUGGACGCAAGUCUGACCCAGCAACGCCGCGGGAAGGAAGAAGGCUUUCGGGUGGUAAACUUCUUGAAAGGGGGAAGAGCAGAAGACGGUACCCCUUGAAUAAGCCACGGCUAACUACGUGCCAGCAGCCGCGGUAAUACGUAGGUGGCAAGGGUGGUCCGGAUUUACUGGGUGUAAAGGGCGUGCAGGCGGUCUGUUAAGUCAGCGGUCAAAGCCCGGGGCGCAACCCCGGCCCGCCGUUGAAACUGGCAGUCUCGAGUUGGAGAGAAGUAUGCGGAAUGCGCGGUGUAGCGGUGAAAUGCAUAGAUAUCGCGCAGAACUCCGAUUGCGAAGGCAGCAUGCCGGCUCCACACUGACGCUGAGGCACGAAAGCGUGGGUAUCGAACAGGAUUAGAUACCCCGGUAGUC